RNAcentral lists this ribosomal RNA (106 nucleotides) under Bison bison bison. The record is from RNAcentral. Lineage: Eukaryota; Metazoa; Chordata; Mammalia; Artiodactyla; Bovidae.
CUAUGGCCAUACCACCCUGAACACGCCCAGUCUCCUCUGAUCUUGGAAGCUAAGGAGGGUUGGGCCUGGUUAGUACUUGGAUGGAGAAUGUAGGUAUCUUAUUAGU